UUUUUUUUUUUUUUUUUUUUUUACCAAAAACUUUCAAAUCAUGUGGAGGGGUGUAUGUUUAGAUAAAGUUCUAGAAGAAUACAAAUCAUAGUGCAAUUAUCCCUGGAGAACAGGUGUACACACGCAAUUUCCUUUUUAGCUUUAUAUUCUUGAAUAUUGUUUAAAAUUUUCAGUGGAAUGAAUUGUUUUCUAAAUUCUUAAUCAAGACAAUUGAAGAAAAGAAAUAAGAUCCAAAGAAAUCUUAAGUAUAUCUCUGUCAUGGGUAUCAACCUACCAAGUUUUAAAGAUCCCUGAAAGACCAUCUUUACCAUAAAAUUUCAAGUUUACUUUACAGCUCCUCCUCUUGACGCUGGAAUAGAGAUAUAUGAUUUUACAUGCAAGGCUAGGAGUUUCAUUUCUGACCCUCUCCCAAUUAUUCUGUCCUAUUUAUUUCCAGAUGCCUUUACCCAUGGAGGUAAAUCUGACCUUUGGUGAAGGUCACCUGACAUAAACCAGUAUACACUCACUGGGCCAGUACGCUGGUAGCACCCAGAAACAGGAGUUGUACUAAGUUAAAGCAAGCCAUCCAGAAACCACAUCCUGAAGUCUGCUGUGAAUGGGUGAUCGCACAGCUCACCAGCCAGGGCUGUCAUUGCUUGGCCAUUAGCACUGAGGCCCAGGAAGCAGAGUCCUCUGGAAGAAGCAUCAGCCACACUCCAGGGCUUCUGUCAGCUGACCAUUGCAAGGACAACAAAUUAGACUUGCUCUUCUUUGAUGGCAGAGGAACCACCUUCCAGAACCAGUGUGAAGCUCACCCAAGAGCCUGUGUGUCACAGUUUUGUGAAUGCCCAAGUGUUCUGACAUAGGGAGUCUAUACUACUCACCUUACUAAUACUCCCAACAGAUUUUUUGUUUUCCUGACUUCCACUCUCCUGGCCAAGUCUCUGCUGGGUGGAUACCACACUGGGCUGACAGAAGGCAUUUGUUAGUCUUUGUAGACUGUUUAUUUCUGAUAAAGGUAAUUCAUGACAACACCUGUAUGGAUACUGCCCGGUGGUGUGUUGGUAAAUGUUUAACAACCAGCUUUCCUGGACAAACUACCCCUAGGCUAGUAAUAUUUAUCAAUUUCCUUAGCGUAAUGGCAACUUCCAAGACUGAGGUCAAGAUACCAACAAAAUGUCACUGAAUAUUGGGAACACACGCACAUACUAGCAUUACUAUUUCUAUCUUAAGAGCAGAGGUAAUGGGGAAGUGUAAUAAAAUCAUUAGGAAGUGAGUUGCACCUACAACAUUUGUUUUUAAUAUAAGUUAUUUAAUCAUAAAUGCACAUAGUUUAGCAUCUAAAAAUGGCUGAGUUUAAGAAUGGCCUCACAAAAUUCCUGAAAAUUUAGCAACUGGCUCAUGCAAGCCAGUACAAACUGGCUCCAGCACACCCCGAGAUUCCCACAGUGCAAGAUGUUACAGAUAUUCUUUUGCCUGGAAAAGUCACAGUCAUUUAUUUCCUUAACAGAUACUCAGAUCUCCCUAUGUUUUGGACAACCCAUGUGCCUGUCUAUAUGUUGACAGGCAGGGCCUAUGUUGACGCAGAUGUCCGGAUUCACAGCUCCUUGGGCUUGGUGUCGGGGCUGGACAGCGCAGUAGAUAAGGAAAGUCAUGGACACCAGAGUCAAAUAAACCAGUACCAUUCUGCAUUAAUGUACCAUUUAGUAAUUCCUUAACUGUUAAUUUAAUGAUUUAAUAAAUAUUGCCUAUGUUAUAUUAAAAAAAGAGAUAAAACAGGUAGAGAAUAUUCUUAAAACAGAUGUGAUGUUUAAGGACAUCUGUACAACACUCAGCAUUUGAGAGGAGCUUAGUACGUAUCAGCACCCUUUCUCUUGAACGAGCACCUCCACAGAUCCCAGGUAAUCGAUUGGGGCUAUUUAAAGAGGCCUGCAGAGCCAGGCAGUGUCAGGACACGGCAGGCUGAACCUGACUCCUUUUCUUUUUACCUGAUUUGGAAAUCAGGUUGGGAGCAACCCUGACUUUGUCAUUCCGGUGCCUGGCAACAGUCUGCCGUUUAAUCUCCUAGGCGAGCUGCCCUUGUGUGGCAGGUUCUACAGACAAAACUGUCCUGGGUCUGUGGUGAUAAUAUUCCUCUGGGUCACUCAGGUUGGAUGGAUAAUCAGUUGCCUUCAUUCUUGGGAACCAUCCCAGCCUCCCAAGGCUCUGCAGCCACACGAGCUUACCCAGGGUGCUAGGCCUCUCCAAGGUGAGCCUCAACAGAGUUUGUAAAAAGGUUUUCAACAGGAAAACUAUGUAUAACAGCAAUUUGAACUCUUCUCUAGUUAACUGAUCAAAUCACAUGCUUUGUACAUGCGAAUGGAUUUUUUGGGAACAUCAAAAAUUUAUUUUAAAAUAUCCUUCAGAAAAUAUGGAGGUGAAUUUACCAAAAAAUUGUCUAGGGUACAAGAAUUACAAGAGUGCUCAGUUUCCCCAGGAAACAGAGUAUCACCAACAAUGAAGGGCAGAAGUACUGGUCUGAACAAUGAUGACAAAACUUAGUAACACAUCUAAAAACAGAGGAUAUGUGGUAGGAUAUGUAAUGGAUAUAUAAUGAUUCACUAAAUAAUACAUUUUUAAAAAGUACUCAAUGAAGGGAGAAAGCUGGAAUGCCUUCCACUCACUCUAGCUGUCCAAAUCAAAUUCUCUUUUCAAGCCCCAGCCCAGUUCUCAAAGGCUCCAGUAAACCGUUCUUGGAUGCCCAUCCACUGAACUCCCACGGCUACGCAAUGUGUUAUCUCUACUGCUCGGUUUCUACUUUCAUCACAUUCCGUACUGUUGUCUUUGCAGAUAGUCAAAUUGUCCUUUUUUUUUUUUAUUUAAAGAUUUUGUUUAUUUGACAGAGACUGAGAGAGAGAGAGCAUGUGUGCACAAGCAGGAGGAGUGGCAGAGGGAGAGGGAGAAGCAGACUCCUCCCUGAGCAGGGAACCCAAUGUGGUGCUCCACCCCAGGACCCUGGGAUCAUGACCUGAGCCAAAGGCCAACACUUAACCAACUGAGCCCCCCGGGAACCCCUCAAAUUGUCCUAUUUUAACAUCUUCUGUUUUUGGUAGCAGAGAGCAGGUCCUGUACUUCUAUGUAAGCUUCAUAUAAUAGACAGUAAUUCAUGAAAGAAGAAGCGAAGCAAUGACACAACCAAUGAACGAACGCUAUGGAUUUGGCCAAAGCACAGCUUCUGCAGUGCCCCGUUUCCUCACCUGGCCUUUACACAAGGAGCUGAUAGGGAUUCGAUUUAAAAAUGAAGCUUCCACUGUUAAUGUGGCUGAUUAGUCUGGGGUCAGGGUGACAGGUCACAAUCCCUCCUCAUCCCCAGCAUAAUAAAAAUAGCCAGGAAGGAACCCUUGAGGUUCACUUAGAGAUCUUAUCCUUUGGCAUCUAGCUUUCUCUGGUUUGUAUCUCCUCUAGGACAGAGUUUGCAGAUGUAGGCUUGUUGGAUCACCUCCUCAAAUCUCCUGUGGCUCAGGGGAAAUAUGCAGAUUUCUGGACACCCCCCCUCCCCUGAAAGGCCAUUGGAUCAGAUUCUUGGGUGGGAGGUGAGGGCUGCAUCUCCCACAUGAUUAUUACACACUAUAAAGUUUAAGAAUCUCUUAUUCAGAAGAGAAGGGAGAGAGGAGAAAGAAGUGUUAGAUGGCUCCCAUAUGCCAGGUACUGAUAUUUAAGAUGCCUCCUUGGAUUCUCACACCACUAAAGGUCGAUUUCAUCAUUUUCUCUCAGGACUUUCAGAGAGGACUCUCAGAUGCUCAUGUACUGAUAAGACAAGUUGCCAAAGGCCCCACAGUGAGUUAGUACAAAGACUGGAUCCUGAUGCCGGUCCAUCUGGCCCCGUGUGUUUAGUUCUGUCCAUGACAUUACACUAUUCACCCCACUACUACAGAGGGUUCUCUCUAUUUGCAUACAUAUGAGAUCCCAGGUUCCAGUCAAUACUUUCCAUGUCGACAAAAGGACUUCUGAGAUGCUACUCCUACUCCACAGAUCAUAUUUCAGAAGACUGAAAAGCUCACAAAGCUCCUGGAAAUUUCUCAUCCACCUAUAGAUGCCACAGGGGGACCAUGUGCUUAAACCCUCUCCCUCAACUGCAGCAUCACAUGGGUUGGGUAUGAAUCCUCCACAUUUUCCUUUCACUUACACACACACACACACACACACACACACACAAUUAUACCCAUGCUUUAUGGGACAGGCACUCCAUACAGACACAUGCUGCCAUGGGAACAUGGGUUCAGAAUAUGUAGCUGGCUUUCCUUUUUCUUGUAUAGAUAUUUUCAAAACAGUUUCUUUGGUGAUAUCUUUUUUAGUCUCCUUGUUUCCUUGACUACAUGAUGAAAGCCGCCGGGUGCUUUUUAGUAGCGCUUUCUCUACUGACCUUGGUGGCUGAAUGAAUAUUCCUAUUCUUGAUUCAAAGUCUAU
Molecule: long non-coding RNA, 4425 nt
Filed under: Canis lupus familiaris (dog)
Lineage: Eukaryota; Metazoa; Chordata; Mammalia; Carnivora; Canidae
Description: lncRNA (ENSCAFG00845009318.1)
Source: RNAcentral